Long non-coding RNA from Marmota monax (woodchuck), 1700 nucleotides. RefSeq lists it as uncharacterized. NCBI's taxonomy places the organism in Eukaryota, Metazoa, Chordata, Mammalia, Rodentia, Sciuridae. The record is from RefSeq and is a predicted model, not a curated record. The transcript is spliced from 2 exons.
ACCCCAAGGCCCCAGGCCCAACAUUAGGAAAACUAACCCCUGUGCCCUGAAGCUGCAAGAUGUUCCAUAUAGAUAACCCCGGAAGGGCCAAACUUGAGCAAACAGGGUAAAAACAGGAACUAAAAGGACAGGAUGCAAUUUUAUGGUUUUUCUGAGAACUAAAGUGGGAAAACAAGUUUACCCCCCUAGGUGACUCAACUGCUGAAUUCAGAGGGACCAAUAGGAAGGCUGUUGCUGUGCUAAGCUAAGACCUAACCCACCUGUCCCCUAUAAAAGAUCUAUACCCCAAAGCCCGGUGUGCCAGUUCACCGAAGCUCCGGCUGAGGUUUUGCUGUGCACCCGCAGGCGCCUGUGUGAGAAUAAACGCCUCCUGCUUUUUGCAGCCAGUGUCUCGUGUGGUUCAUUCCGGGUUUGGGAUCUGUGGAUAUUUCAUUGUGGAGGUCCCACCGAGAUCCAAGAUCCCGGUUCCGGUUCCGAUCCCGGUCCCUAUCCGGAGGACACCCGACAUCACUGGGAGACUCAUUUGCAUGCUUUGCAAUUGGUCCAGAACGAGGUCUGGAAGCCUCUAGCCGCAGCAUACAAAGAGGAACUUAAAACCCCCUUGCUGCCACAUCCCUUCAAGGUCGGAGAUACCGUCUGGGUACGCAGGCACCAGAGCAGGAACCUCGAACUGCGGUGGAAAGGACCCUACACUAUCCUGCUGACCACUCCUACUGCACUCAAAGUGGACGGCAUCGCUGCUUAGAUCCAUGCUUCCCACGUGAAGACUGCACAUCCACAGGAGUCCGCAGACACCUCUCCGGAUCCAGAAUGGAAGUUGCAACGUACCCAAAAUCCGCUAAAGAUAAGACUCACUCGCUGUUAAUUUUUCUUGCUUUGUGCUGUGUCUUCCCCAUAUCAGUUAACCCCAACCAAUCUGUGAGCCAGACAUGACAAGUAUUAUCGGGGACAAGAAAUAUAAUUUAAAAAAAAAAAAAAAAAAAAAACAGGAUCCCCCACUUUCUGCCGACUCUUGCAGGAGCCUGAAAUGGUACGGGGCAGGGCCAUGUACCGCAUUUGCCUGCAACCCCUUAAACAUUACCUUUACUCAGGCAGGCAAAGCAUCAAAAGAUUAGAUAAAAAAAAAAAACAAUGGGGCCUGAAAAUAUAUCAUAAAACUGCCUAUGACCCUGGGGUCCUAUUCAAAAUUAGAUUAAUAGUAAAUACCAACCCCCAACCAGUAUGCUGAGCCGUCAGCUGAAAUAAUGCUGGAAUCCGAGCAGAUGGGUCAAUGGAUAUAAGAUUAUAUCCAUGAUAUAAAAAAAGGGGGGAAUGAAGGACCCCAAGGCCCCAGGCCCAACAUUAGGAAAACUAACCCCUGUGCCCUGAAGCUGCAAGAUGUUCCAUAUAGAUAACCCCGGAAGGGCCAAACUUGAGCAAACAGGGUAAAAACAGGAACUAAAAGGACAGGAUGCAAUUUUAUGGUUUUUCUGAGAACUAAAGUGGGAAAACAAGUUUACCCCCCUAGGUGACUCAACUGCUGAAUUCAGAGGGACCAAUAGGAAGGCUGUUGCUGUGCUAAGCUAAGACCUAACCCACCUGUCCCCUAUAAAAGAUCUAUACCCCAAAGCCCGGUGUGCCAGUUCACCGAAGCUCCGGCUGAGGUUUUGCUGUGCACCCGCAGGCGCCUGUGUGAGAAUAAACGCCUCCUGCUUUUUGCA